UUAUCUGAACCUUCGGGGAACGAUAACGGCGUCGAGCGGCGGACGGGUGAGUAAUGCCUAGGAAAUUGCCCUGAUGUGGGGGAUAACCAUUGGAAACGAUGGCUAAUACCGCAUGAUGCCUACGGGCCAAAGAGGGGGACCUUCGGGCCUCUCGCGUCAGGAUAUGCCUAGGUGGGAUUAGCUAGUUGGUGAGGUAAGGGCUCACCAAGGCGACGAUCCCUAGCUGGUCUGAGAGGAUGAUCAGCCACACUGGAACUGAGACACGGUCCANACUCCUACGGGAGGCAGCAGUGGGGAAUAUUGCACAAUGGGCGCAAGCCUGAUGCAGCCAUGCCGCGUGUGUGAAGAAGGCCUUCGGGUUGUAAAGCACUUUCAGUCGUGAGGAAGGUAGUGUAGUUAAUAGCUGCAUUAUUUGACGUUAGCGACAGAAGAAGCACCGGCUAACUCCGUGCCAGCAGCCGCGGUAAUACGGAGGGUGCGAGCGUUAAUCGGAAUUACUGGGCGUAAAGCGCAUGCAGGUGGUUUGUUAAGUCAGAUGUGAAAGCCCGGGGCUCAACCUCGGAAUAGCAUUUGAAACUGGCAGACUAGAGUACUGUAGAGGGGGGUAGAAUUU
This 613-nucleotide ribosomal RNA is filed under the name uncultured bacterium. Its description in RNAcentral is "bacterial SSU rRNA". It matches the Rfam family "Bacterial small subunit ribosomal RNA", at positions 71 to 669 of the family's 1533-position model. The record is from RNAcentral.